GGUGGCUUUGGGUUGUUUCCAUCCUAACACCAUGGAGUCCCGAACACUCUCAAGGACCGUGAUGUCAUAUGGUGGAGAUGGAGCAGCUGUUUCAACAUGAAUAACAUAAGCUGAGCAGCUGUCUUCAGGCAAAACAACCACAUAGCAAACUGAAAAGAUACUAUGAAGAUAAUGUAAUACUUAUGAUCACUCACCAAGUUUAUCGUCCACCACAGUGGCUUCAGUUGCUUCUGAAGGCUCACCGAUUCCAGCUGAAUUGCAACAGCGAACCCGGAAGCAAUAGGAUUUGCCUUCAGACAAAUCAAAAACUGCAAAGCGAGGGGACUUCACAGGAAUCUCAGUGUUCACCCUUUGCCAGUCCUCUGUGCCAGCAAUGCACUGCAGUCAAACCCAGAAAGAACAUUUCGAACAAAACUCUUUGAACACAGAGUCUAACCUGACAAGGCCUCCUACCUGGACCACGAAAGGCAAGCUGCAAGAAGGACAUCUUACUUCUCAGUCUGGCUCUAUCUGCAGGAUCCAGGGCAGCCACAGGCUCCGACACGCGGGAUGGUAGGCUAACACCAGCUUUGUUCACUGCUCGCACUCGGAAGAUGUAGGAGCGGCCCUCGAUCAGACCAGUGACAGGAAAACGAGCAAACUUCACCGGAGUCUCAUUGCAUUGGGUCCAGUGGGUGGUGCCAACCUCACACCUGCAAAACACAAACAGGACAAGUGGUGCUUGAAAGGGAAAAACACAAGCUCGGGGCACCCAGCCCUCAGAGUUCCAUUCACAUCCAUUGGCUGGAUAUUCCCAGCUUCUUCAGCAGUGUUGUCUGCUGGUGACACAGAAGCAGCUGCAGGAGGGGGGUCAGGGUUUUAGGGCCAUCUGGGAAUGCACUAAAUCCCUUGCAGCUGCACUCCUUCUUCCCCGAACUGAAGAGGGGAUAUGGGCACAGCUCACUUCAAACUGUUCAAACCCUUCAAAGCAUGCUCUGGGACUCCUGGGUGUGUCAGCUUCAGCAUAUCUGAAGGGAUGUGAAAUACAUGGAUCCUCUGCGGUUGCCAGAAGCAGAGUUCAUCAUAUGUGACCAACCCAGCUCUCAGAUGUCUGUGACGACAACUGAACACUCAGUAACAAAGCUCUGAAUUCAGGAGCAAAUGUAGAAUGAAGGAGGUGAAGACAAGAGGAGAAGCAAAAUGCUCUUUGCCUUGCAGUUGCACUUCGUAGUUACAUCCCUCAAUAGCCUAGUUUUAAAAUGAGGCAUUAUUUUUAAGAGUCUUGUCCUAUCUUUUGUUUAGAAUUAUUUAAUGAAUGUCAAAGAGCUAGAGCUUCCUAGUGCAGCACAGUUAUGGCAACAACUCAUACUCAUACACUGUCAAACCAGCAAAAGUUAUAUUCAAACUGAACCGAUGUUCAAUACUUGAUUGUAGUGAUGUUAGACUUUCUUUUCACAAAACAAUCUCUCCCUUUUAUAUUUAUUAAAUUUAUAUAGAGAGAGCAAAAUAUAUUGGCAUACUUACAAAAUACAUCUAUACAUAGAUAUAUAACAUAUACAUCUACAUGCAUCUAAAUAAACCCACAGGACUUCCAUGUUACUAAUGACAUAUUCUGGUACUAAAAUUGAAACAAAUAUUACCAGCUCUGAAAACUUCACUAUAAGUCUUGAAAUACUGAUUGAAUUUCUUAAAUCCCAAACUUCUGGAAUUCCACCUCUGUGUGACAGCUUCCAUUUUCACAUAGAAUCACAGAAUCAUUCAGGUUGGAAAAGACCAACCAUCAACCCACCAUGCCCACUGACCACGUCCCUCAGUGCCACAACCACACAUUUCUUGAACGCCUCCAGAGAUGGUGACCCCACCACCUCCCUGGGCAGCCUGUACCACUGCCUCACCACUCUUUCUGAGAAGAAUUUUUCCUAAUAUCCAACCUGAACCUUCCCUGGCACAACUUAAGGCCACAUUUUUAGAACUACCUAUUUCCAAAUCUUAUUGUUGAAGAGAAAAACAUGCAAGUAUAAUUUGCAUUAAGCUUAUGAACCUAAUUGCUCAAAAAACAAUUUGAGCUCAAAUUGCUCAAAAAACUAAUUUGCCCAAAAAGCCCAUAAAAGAAGUCCAACUCCCUCUGAGAUCACAUUUUGCUUUCUGGUACAUGGUAAACAUUUGGCUGCAGGAGGGAUAGCACUGAUGUGGGUAGAGCCAAUCCUCUGAGCCCCAACACCACAACAUCCUGAGGCCUCUUGAGCCUCACAGGAAUCAGUGAGGGCUGAGCAGCAUCUCACAUAAUCAUUUCUAUGUACUUAAGUGAAGCAGGCCUUUAUUAUUCUCACUACAGUUAUAUCAGGCCCAGACAGCCUAAACAAACAAACAAAAAAAACAUUCUUUCUGUAGCCAGCAAGAAGAGUGAAAAUAAAAAUGACCACUUUAUCUCAUGCUUUUAAAUGUGCUUUUAGGUUUUUGAGUUAGAAUAUGCAGCAAUACAAAUUUUCUACAUUGGCAUGCUUGCUGACCUGUCAAUGAAGUAUCCAAGGAUGGGGUUUCCUCCAUCAACAGCUGGCUGUUUCCAAGAUACGAUGACAUAAUCCUUGUUGGCAUCUAAGCACUGCACAUCCAGCGGUGCGCCAGGGGCUCCUGGGAUCUCAGCAUCAGCAUCUAUGAGGAUGGAGACACAGAUUUCCUGACAUGAAAUAAGGUUCUCUCAUAAUUAUUUUUCACGGACAAAACUCUAUUCCUGCAGAGCCAAGAGAAAGCUUCAAAAAUUAUUUGUUUUUAUACUGGUGGUAUCUUUUCAGGUUUUGAUUUUUGCAACAUUUACAAAUGCAUUUACGGCAUAUUGUAAACAUAAUUGAUCUAGGCAUUUUUAAUACAUGUUAGUACCAUGGAUUCUAAUGAGGUAGCUGCCAGAGACACAGCCAAAGUGCACAAAAACUUGGAAGACUGUCUAUUUACCUGCAAUGUUACUUAGGAGAUUAGGCUGGCAUUUUGUCUUGCAGUUAUGCAAGGACUCAGUCAAAAAGUUUUAGUCUCAGGAUAUACAGCACUGCAAUCUCAGUCACUGCCAUAUACCUCCAUGGAAAUACUGACUGUGGAAAUAUUACCACAGCUCUGACCCCCCCAUCAGAUCUCAUCUGCCCCUACAGUGAGAGCUGGGAGGCAAAACCUUUUCUCUUCAAACCUUUGUGUCAUUUUUGUUUUUGUUUUUUCCAAGGUCAUCCUCUGGAAUGAUCAGCAUUGUUAAACUACUAUUUGCUGGACACUCAGACACACAACAUCUGCUGAAGAAAAGACUAGUCUGAACACUCGUUUAUUUUUCAAAUGAAUGAAAUACCUUCACACAUAGUCUUUCAUUGUUCAGUUUGGGUUGGAUAUGAGCUGAAAAGGUAUCAAAACCUUUUGAAGCUGAAUUAUACCACAGAUUUUGGAAUAUAACCUUCCUUAAGAUGAGCAUAUUGUUCCUCUCAUGAAUUUGCCACAAAUAUAAGUUUGUUGGUGUUAAAGGGCUAAGACUCUAACAUCAGCUUCCAGACAAAUCUUACCCAAAGCUUAAAAAUCAGAGCAUAGUGCUGGGCACUGGUAAUUACACUGUUUACAUGGUCAUAAUUCAGCUUGAGAGAUAUAGCAAUUUUCUUGUAGGGCAAAAUAACCCUUGCAAGAAGAUUAUAUGAAAGAUUUUUAAAGGAGAGAGAUUGUUUCUCUAUAGAACAGAGAGUUUCUACAGACAUAAGUAACGUUAUUCAAGCCUCACUACUUCUAAAGACAACCUGACUUAAAACAAGACAGCUGUACAUACCUAAAGAAAAAUGUUUUGCAAACAAAUAUUCUUCCUGCAUUCCAUCUAAACCCCAUACUUUUGCAAAUGUUUGAUGCUUCAGGGUGCUACAGGAUUUUGUAUUACAGUUUAUGUCAAUUCCAGUUUUUUCUGCUUUUGGCUUUCAGAAAGAAAUGCCUUAUAUGAGUAUUUAUCAUGCUUGAUUAAAUAAAACAGUAGUCUUCAGAGGAAAAAUAAACAAACACUUCUCCCUGUAUGUUCCCUUUUAUGCACAGUUGCAUCACACAGAAUUUUUGAAGCUGUGCGAAAGUUUUUGAGUCCAGUUUCUAACUACAGCUAACUAGGUAUAAUUUUUAAAAUGCACAGAGUAACCAAUCCAUUUAACAUAGCAAAAUAAUAAGAACAUUGGGGCAAUAACAAGAUAUCUUCAAUGAUCUCCCUAUGAAAGGCUUGAGUUAUCUAUAUCUCUUGCUUGACAGAACACGAGACACCACUGUUUCUUUCCAAGACAGACUAGGAAAUAGCUGGGACAAUCAGCAUUGCUCAUCAGCCUCAUUGGUGCUAGGAUUUCAUCCCUGGCUGCUUGCUAACGAAUGCUGACCUGUAGCCAUGGUAAGAGGAACCCAUUUUCUCUGAACCUGCCAAGCCCUGGUGUUAUGAGCUUGAUGAGCACCCUGCUCACGUCCAUCAACACAGAAGGAUUUCUACAUGUGAUGCAAAAAGACAGCUCCUUGCACUUAAGCAGCUAGCUAUGAGUUUGUACUGAACCUGUCUACAAAUUAGGAGGAACAGUGAGAAGAAUGGUGGCCAAAUGAGGCUGUGCAGAGAAUGUAAGUAGAACAUAAUUAAUCUAAUUAGAAUUUGGCAAGUACACCAGUUGGCUAGUAAUAUACUCUUGUGAAAGGGGUCGCUGGUUCACAGUCAGGUCAUACUUUCAUUGCUGUAAGUGCUAAAAGAUGUAGCAGGAAUGAGGGUGAUCAUUUAUUUAUAUGGUAGCCCCAUUUAAAACCAGGCAAGGAAAACAAUCCCUAAUUCUUCUCCUUGUUGCUCAGUCCCACACACACGUUCCAUCAAACUCUUUCCUCAGGAGACAAAAACAUUUGAUUCAGCUGCAUUUUCCAAGCAGGCUGUUAUCUCACACAGUUUUGCUAAACUUGGGAACAUGGUACCACUCUGAACAAAUUCUCAGAGCCAAAGAUUUCCAGAGUCUUUUGAAUUAGCAUUACAUGCUUCAGCUGCUUUUAGCAGCUGGGACAGAUAUAGAGUCAGCACGUAACCUGAUAAGCCACUGCUCUUCUUAAAGAAAUACUUGCUCUAAUAGAAAUACAAGGAAGUUUUUCAUGGUACAAGCAAACAACACCCAGAGGAAUAACAUUUUAAUUCUGUACUUCAAUUAAGGAGUCAGAUUUUCUGCUUUUCCUUACAGAGUCACAAAAGGAUGAGGUUAGCAGAGCCUUCUGGGUCCAUCAGGUCCCAUCCCUAUUCCAGAAGAGACACACAGAACAGGGGUCCAGGAUUGUGUCUAGCUGGGCUUUGAAUAUCUUCAAGGAUUUCUUCUCCAGAGCCUCUCCAGGCAACUUGUACCAGUGUUCAACAACCAUCACAGUAAAAAAGUGUUUUCUUAAAUUUGAAAUGUUGAAAUGGACUUUUCCUUUUUUUUUGUCCAUUGUCUCUUGUCCUGUCAUUGGGUACCACAGAAGUGUCUCACUCUAUACUCAUUACUCCUCCCAUUAGGCAUCUGUACACAUUGAUGAGAUACCCUUUGAUCCCUCUUGUCCCCACACAGAACAGACACAGUUCUCUUAGCCUCUCCUCAUGUGUCAGACGUUCCUUUCACUUUGCAGCCCUUCACUGGACCCUCUCCAGUAUGUCCAUGUCUCUUUUGUACUGGGGAGUCCAGAACUAGACUCAGCACUCCAAACACGUCUUAGAAGUGCUGAGCAGAAGGGAAGGAUUACCUCCCUCCACCUGCUGGUGACCUUGUUCCCAAUGCAGCCAAGAAUAUUACCGGCAUUUGCCACAGGGACUCAUUGCUGGUUCAUGUUCACCCAAUUAUCCACUAUGAUCCCAAGACCCUUUUCAGCAAAGCUGCUUUCCAAAGAGUCAGUCCCCAGUCUGUAACGGUGCAUGUGGUUACUCUUCUCCAGGUGGUGAUCUCUAUGUUUCCUUUCUACUGUACUUUUUUUGAGCAUUGUGCAUUAGUGAAAACCUCUCAAACAGAGCAGAAAAAUCUUGAUCUGCAGUUCAGCUAGUGUGAGAUGGUUAAAAAAUACAUUUUAAAGUUACUUUAUAGAGUUAUCCUUUUUUGAAUUAUAUUUGGUACUGUUCGCAAGCUGAAGAUGAGAAAGAGCGAAGUUACAUCAACAACAAAAAUUUCAUCCCCAGAAUGCCAAUAUAGUUUACAAGCUUUCUAAAAUGUGGCACCAAAGCUUGGGGAAUGCAUUCAGUUUUCCAAAGAUAACACUUGAAAGCUGUAAUGCUAAAAUCAAUUGUAUAAAAUAUUUAUAUAAAUUAAUAUAAUUCAUUUUAUGUAAGCUAUUGUAUUAUGCAAAAAUUAUAUAUAUGAAUUGGAAAUAAACACCUGAAAUGACUGAGA
This is a long non-coding RNA of Gallus gallus (chicken), 6344 nucleotides long. RefSeq lists it as uncharacterized. The transcript is spliced from 3 exons. Lineage: Eukaryota; Metazoa; Chordata; Aves; Galliformes; Phasianidae. The record is from RefSeq and is a predicted model, not a curated record.